GGUUUUUUUAGAGAGAGCUGUAGACUCCAUAAAAAUCUGCUUAAAGGAGGAUGAUCCCUCUAUUCCUUCUCCUGGCCAGACUUUUGGGUACAAGGAAGAAUAAGAAAAAAUGGAACUGGUACCACUAAACUCCUGAAUCUCUAGUGGGAUGUUUCUGGAGGAUUUGGGUACAAAUCUAACAAAAUCUCACCUGCUUCACUACUUUAGCUAAAAGACUAGGAAAAAACCCCUGUACCUCUGAAAGAGUUAUCACUGCCUUUUCUUCUUCAACAGAAAGGGAAACUGUACUGCAUUAUGAAAAUGAUGAUGACAACAACAAAAAAAAAGCAAGAAAAUAUAUGACUUCUUCAUCCCAUGGUACCACAAAGUAAUAGAAUUACAGGAAGAAAAGG
Molecule: long non-coding RNA, 392 nt
Organism: Athene cunicularia (burrowing owl)
Lineage: Eukaryota; Metazoa; Chordata; Aves; Strigiformes; Strigidae
Exons: 3
Source: RefSeq, a predicted model, not a curated record